This 2260-nucleotide ribosomal RNA is filed under the name Salmonella enterica subsp. enterica serovar Typhimurium. Its description in RNAcentral is "partial 23S ribosomal RNA". It matches the Rfam family "Bacterial large subunit ribosomal RNA", at positions 711 to 2862 of the family's 2925-position model. Lineage: Bacteria; Pseudomonadati; Pseudomonadota; Gammaproteobacteria; Enterobacterales; Enterobacteriaceae. The record is from RNAcentral.
AGACCCGAAACCCGGUGAUCUAGCCAUGGGCAGGUUGAAGGUUGGGUAACACUAACUGGAGGACCGAACCGACUAAUGUUGAAAAAUUAGCGGAUGACCUGUGGCUGGGGGUGAAAGGCCAAUCAAACCGGGAGAUAGCUGGUUCUCCCCGAAAGCUAUUUAGGUAGCGCCUCGUGAAUUCAUCUCCGGGGGUAGAGCACUGUUUCGGCUAGGGGGCCAUCCCGGCUUACCAACCCGAUGCAAACUGCGAAUACCGGAGAAUGUUAUCACGGGAGACACACGGCGGGUGCUAACGUCCGUCGUGAAGAGGGAAACAACCCAGACCGCCAGCUAAGGUCCCAAAGUCAUGGUUAAGUGGGAAACGAUGUGGGAAGGCCCAGACAGCCAGGAUGUUGGCUUAGAAGCAGCCAUCAUUUAAAGAAAGCGUAAUAGCUCACUGGUCGAGUCGGCCUGCGCGGAAGAUGUAACGGGGCUAAACCAUGCACCGAAGCUGCGGCAGCGAACGUAUCACCCAAGACAACUUUACGGAGUUGACGAUUGACGGAGCGAAGCGACGUCAAAGCGUUCAUUAAAGUCGAGUUGGCUUAGGGAUACGUUCGUUGGGUAGGGGAGCGUUCUGUAAGCCUGUGAAGGUGUGUCGUGAGGCAUGCUGGAGGUAUCAGAAGUGCGAAUGCUGACAUAAGUAACGAUAAAGCGGGUGAAAAGCCCGCUCGCCGGAAGACCAAGGGUUCCUGUCCAACGUUAAUCGGGGCAGGGUGAGUCGACCCCUAAGGCGAGGCCGAAAGGCGUAGUCGAUGGGAAACGGGUUAAUAUUCCCGUACUUGGUGUUACUGCGAAGGGGGGACGGAGAAGGCUAUGUUGGCCGGGCGACGGUUGUCCCGGUUUAAGCGUGUAGGUGUGUGUUCCAGGUAAAUCCGGUUCACUUUAACACUGAGGCGUGACGACGAGGCACUACGGUGCUGAAGCAACAAAUGCCCUGCUUCCAGGAAAAGCCUCUAAGCAUCAGGUAACACGAAAUCGUACCCCAAACCGACACAGGUGGUCAGGUAGAGAAUACCAAGGCGCUUGAGAGAACUCGGGUGAAGGAACUAGGCAAAAUGGUGCCGUAACUUCGGGAGAAGGCACGCUGACACGUAGGUGAAGUGAUUUACUCAUGGAGCUGAAGUCAGUCGAAGAUACCAGCUGGCUGCAACUGUUUAUUAAAAACACAGCACUGUGCAAACACGAAAGUGGACGUAUACGGUGUGACGCCUGCCCGGUGCCGGAAGGUUAAUUGAUGGGGUCAGCGUAAGCGAAGCUCCUGAUCGAAGCCCCGGUAAACGGCGGCCGUAACUAUAACGGUCCUAAGGUAGCGAAAUUCCUUGUCGGGUAAGUUCCGACCUGCACGAAUGGCGUAAUGAUGGCCAGGCUGUCUCCACCCGAGACUCAGUGAAAUUGAACUCGCUGUGAAGAUGCAGUGUACCCGCGGCAAGACGGAAAGACCCCGUGAACCUUUACUAUAGCUUGACACUGAACAUUGAGCCUUGAUGUGUAGGAUAGGUGGGAGGCUUUGAAGUGUGGACGCCAGUCUGCAUGGAGCCGACCUUGAAAUACCACCCUUUAAUGUUUGAUGUUCUAACGUGGACCCGUAAUCCGGGUUGCGGACAGUGUCUGGUGGGUAGUUUGACUGGGGCGGUCUCCUCCUAAAGAGUAACGGAGGAGCACGAAGGUUGGCUAAUCCUGGUCGGACAUCAGGAGGUUAGUGCAAUGGCAUAAGCCAGCUUGACUGCGAGCGUGACGGCGCGAGCAGGUGCGAAAGCAGGUCAUAGUGAUCCGGUGGUUCUGAAUGGAAGGGCCAUCGCUCAACGGAUAAAAGGUACUCCGGGGAUAACAGGCUGAUACCGCCCAAGAGUUCAUAUCGACGGCGGUGUUUGGCACCUCGAUGUCGGCUCAUCACAUCCUGGGGCUGAAGUAGGUCCCAAGGGUAUGGCUGUUCGCCAUUUAAAGUGGUACGCGAGCUGGGUUUAGAACGUCGUGAGACAGUUCGGUCCCUAUCUGCCGUGGGCGCUGGAGAACUGAGGGGGGCUGCUCCUAGUACGAGAGGACCGGAGUGGACGCAUCACUGGUGUUCGGGUUGUCAUGCCAAUGGCACUGCCCGGUAGCUAAAUGCGGAAGAGAUAAGUGCUGAAAGCAUCUAAGCACGAAACUUGCCCCGAGAUGAGUUCUCCCUGAGACUUAGAGUCUCCUGAAGGAACGUUGAAGACGACGACGUUGAUAGGCC